CCUACGGGUGGCAGCAGUGGGGAAUAUUGGGCAAUGGAGGAAACUCUGACCCAGCAACGCCGCGUGAAUGAUGCAGGUCUUCGGAUUGUAAAGUUCUUUUCUAAGGGAAGAAGAAAGUGACGGUACUUUAGGAAUAAGCCUCGGCUAACUACGUGCCAGCAGCCGCGGUAAUACGUCGGAGGCGAGCGUUGUCCGGUAUGACUUGGCGUAAAGGGUGCUUAGGUUGGUGGGCAAGUGAGUAGCGUAACUGCAAGGCUCAACCUUGGAACUACUACUAAAACUGUUGGACUUGAGUGAAGGAGGGGCAACCGGAAUUCGUAGUGUAGCGGUGGAAUGCGUAGAUAUUAGGAGGAACACCAGUGGCGAAGGCGGGUUGCUAGACUGUAACUGACACUGAGGCACGAAAGCGUGGGGAGCGAACAGGAUUAGAUACCCCUGUAGUC
This 443-nucleotide ribosomal RNA is filed under the name uncultured bacterium. RNAcentral's name for it is "partial 16S ribosomal RNA". It matches the Rfam family "Bacterial small subunit ribosomal RNA", at positions 338 to 795 of the family's 1533-position model. The record is from RNAcentral.